UAUGAAUAUGGCGAAAUAGGUAAACGCACUAAAUUUAGAUUUUAGUUAUUAUAAUAAGAGUUCAAAUCUCUUUAUUCAUAU
Molecule: transfer RNA, 81 nt
Filed under: Thermopolyspora flexuosa
Lineage: Bacteria; Bacillati; Actinomycetota; Actinomycetes; Streptosporangiales; Streptosporangiaceae
Description: tRNA-Leu
Rfam family: tRNA
About the family: Transfer RNA (tRNA) molecules are approximately 80 nucleotides in length. Their secondary structure includes four short double-helical elements and three loops (D, anti-codon, and T loops).
Source: RNAcentral